CAGGACAUGAAGGGAUGGCUUUCCUGGUUUUCCUGAACAUCUCAAUGGAGGAUACAGGUUUCUACAGAUGUAAAGAAGGCGACAUGUCUAUAGGCCAUGCUAUUAAUGUGACUGUGACAGAUAAUAAGGAGGAUAAGGUUUCACACAAUCAAAGCAACAAAAGUGAUCUGAAUUCAGGUCCAACGGAUGAUCUACAGUGGCUCUGGCCAUAUGUGUACAUCUGCAGUGGAAUAGCAGGGCUGGUGGUGAUAGUUAUUACUGUAACAUUGUUUAUCAUCAGAUGCCAAGGUGA
Molecule: long non-coding RNA, 292 nt
Filed under: Sinocyclocheilus anshuiensis
Lineage: Eukaryota; Metazoa; Chordata; Actinopteri; Cypriniformes; Cyprinidae
Description: lncRNA (ENSSANG00000019062.1)
Source: RNAcentral